Oncorhynchus masou masou (cherry salmon) is the source of this 383-nucleotide long non-coding RNA. RefSeq lists it as uncharacterized. NCBI's taxonomy places the organism in Eukaryota, Metazoa, Chordata, Actinopteri, Salmoniformes, Salmonidae. The transcript has 3 exons. The record is from RefSeq and is a predicted model, not a curated record.
CCACCAACAGGUAAAUUUCCAGCCAUGGGGACAACUUUCGAGCUUUGUGUGGCUGUCAGCCUAUUCAUAGUGGUCAGUGGAUCAUGCCCAGUGGGGCGGGAGUUCAUUACUGCCUUUAUGCCUAACUAUUUGCUGAGCUACCAUGAUGAUCAGAGUCUUCAACUGGCCAUAAGCACACAGGAUUAUCCAGCCAUUGUUCAAAUUCAGGUCAAUGCAAUCGGCUUCUCCACCUCAGUGAAAAUAGAUAAACAGAACACCAAAUGGAUCGCCAUACCUGGUAACGCUGAAAUUGGGGGUCCAGGAGCUUCCACCAAAACAGUGCAGGUCACCUCCAACUCUGACAUCUCAGUGGUGGCCUUCAACUACAAGUUCUCAACCGGAGA